Molecule: ribosomal RNA, 459 nt
Filed under: uncultured bacterium
Lineage: Bacteria
Description: partial 16S ribosomal RNA
Rfam family: Bacterial small subunit ribosomal RNA
Source: RNAcentral
CCUACGGGUGGCAGCAGUGAGGAAUAUUGGUCAAUGGGCGAGAGCCUGAACCAGCCAAGUCGCGUGAAGGAUGAAGGAUUUCUGGUUUUUAAACUCUUUUUAUAUGGGAAUAAAGUGAGGAACGUGUUCCUUUUUUAUGUACCAUAUGAAUAAGCAUCGGCUAACUCCGUGCCAGCAGCCGCGGUAAUACGGAGGAUGCGAGCGUUAUCCGGAUUUAUUGGGUUUAAAGGAGGCGUAGGUGGUUGAUUAAGUCAGCGGUGAAAGGUUGUGGCUCAACCAUAGAAUUGCCGUUGAAACUGGUUGACUAGAGUACAGUUGAGGUAGGCGGAAUGCGUGGUGUAGCGGUGAAAUGCAUAGAUAUCACGCAGAACACCGAUUGCGAAGGCAGCUUACUAAACUAUAACUGACGCUGAAGCACGAAAGCGUGGGGAUCAAACAGGAUUAGAUACCCUAGUAGUC